RNAcentral lists this ribosomal RNA (468 nucleotides) under uncultured bacterium. Its description in RNAcentral is "partial 16S ribosomal RNA". It matches the Rfam family "Bacterial small subunit ribosomal RNA", at positions 28 to 507 of the family's 1533-position model. The record is from RNAcentral.
GACGAACGCUGGCGGCGUGCUUAACACAUGCAAGUCGAACGGAAAGGCCCUGCUUUUGUGGGGUGCUCGAGUGGCGAACGGGUGAGUAACACGUGAGUAACCUGCCCUUGACUUUGGGAUAACUUCAGGAAACUGGGGCUAAUACCGGAUAGGAGCUCCUGCUGCAUGGUGGGGGUUGGAAUGCUUCGGCGGUUGGGGAUGGACUCGCGGCUUAUCAGCUUGUUGGUGGGGUAGUGGCUUACCAAGGCUUUGACGGGUAGCCGGCCUGAGAGGGUGACCGGCCACAUUGGGACUGAGAUACGGCCCAGACUCCUACGGGAGGCAGCAGUGGGGAAUAUUGCACAAUGGGCGGAAGCCUGAUGCAGCAACGCCGCGUGCGGGAUGACGGCCUUCGGGUUGUAAACCGCUUUCGCCUGUGACGAAGCGUGAGCGACGGUAAUGGGUAAAGAAGCACCGGCUAACUACGUG